Molecule: ribosomal RNA, 482 nt
Filed under: uncultured bacterium
Lineage: Bacteria
Description: partial 16S ribosomal RNA
Rfam family: Bacterial small subunit ribosomal RNA
Source: RNAcentral
AUUGAACGCUGGCGGCAUGCUUUACACAUGCCAGUCGAACGGUAACAGGCCGCAAGGUGCUGACGAGUGGCGGACGGGUGAGUAAUGCAUCGGAACGUGCCCAGUCGUGGGGGAUAACUACUCGAAAGAGUAGCUAAUACCGCAUACGAGCUAUGGAUGAAAGCGGGGGACCGUAAGGCCUCGCGCGAUUGGAGCGGCCGAUGUCAGAUUAGGUAGUUGGUGGGGUAAAGGCUCACCAAGCCAACGAUCUGUAACUGGUCUGAGAGGACGACCAGCCACACUGGAACUGAGACACGGCCCAGACUCCUACGGGAGGCAGCAGUGGGGAAUUUUGGACAAUGGGCGCAAGCCUGAUCCAGCAAUGCCGCGUGCGGGAAGAAGGCCUUCGGGUUGUAAACUGCUUUUGUACGGAACGAAACGGCUCUGGUUAAUACCCGGGGCUAAUGACGGUACCGUAAGAAUAAGCACCGGCUAACUACGUG